Molecule: small nucleolar RNA, 138 nt
Filed under: Ornithorhynchus anatinus (platypus)
Lineage: Eukaryota; Metazoa; Chordata; Mammalia; Monotremata; Ornithorhynchidae
Source: RNAcentral
CCCCUCUCAGGGUCGCACCUGGGGAGUUUCCAGUACUCUACCAGUCUCGACUACAGGAGGGAGAGUCAAGCAGAGGCCUAUCUAUUCCACCCCUAGCUUGGGCAGUGGCUAGCGAGUGGAAGGCAAUCUGCUACAAAC